UACGUAGGGGGCGAGCGUUGUCCGGAUUUAUUGGGCGUAAAGCGCGCGUAGGCGGUGGGGUAAGUCGGCCGUGAAAUCUCCCAGCUCAACUGGGAGGGGUCGGGCGAGACUGCCGCACUCGAGGUGGGCAGAGGCCGGUAGAAUUCCGGGUGUAGUGGUGGAAUGCGUAGAGAUCCGGAGGAAUACCAGUGGCGAAGGCGGCCGGCUGGGCCUGGCCUGACGCUGAGGCGCGAAAGCGUGGGGAGCGAUCCG
RNAcentral lists this ribosomal RNA (252 nucleotides) under uncultured bacterium. RNAcentral describes it as "partial 16S ribosomal RNA". It matches the Rfam family "Bacterial small subunit ribosomal RNA", at positions 524 to 775 of the family's 1533-position model. The record is from RNAcentral.